CUACAUUCUGGUUGAUCCCGCCGGACCUGACUGCUAUCGGAUUGGUACUAAGCCAUGCGAGUCAUUGUAGCAAUACAAGGCGGACGGCUCAGUAACACGUAGUCAACCUAACUCGUGGACGUGGAUAACCUCGGGAAACUGAGAAUAAAACACGAUAGAUCAUAGUGCCUGGAAUGGCUUAUGGUCCAAACAGUUUACUGCCAUGGGAUGGGACUGCGGCCUAUCAGCUUGUUGGUGAGGUAAUGGCCCACCAAGGCGAUUACAGGUACGGGCUCUGAGAGGAGAAGCCCGGAGAUGGGUACUGAGACACGGACCCAGGCCCUAUGGGGCGCAGCAGGCGAGAAACCUUAGCAAUGUGCGAAAGCACGACUGGGUCAGUCCGAGUGAUUCCUGAUAAAGGAGUCUUUUGCUUGUCCUAAAAGCACAAGUGAAUAAGGGGUGGGCAAGUCUGGUGUCAGCCGCCGCGGUAAUACCAGCACCUCGAGUGGUUAGGCCGUUUAUUGGGCCUAAAGCAUCCGUAGCCGGCUCUGCAAGUCUUCGGUUAAAUCCACCUGCUUAACAGAUGGGCCGCUGGAGAUACUACAGAGCUAGGGAGUGGGAGAGGCAGACGGUAUUCAGUGCGUAGGGGUAAAUCCUCUGAUCAUUGA
Molecule: ribosomal RNA, 647 nt
Filed under: uncultured archaeon
Lineage: Archaea
Description: bacterial SSU rRNA
Rfam family: Archaeal small subunit ribosomal RNA
Source: RNAcentral